Molecule: ribosomal RNA, 789 nt
Filed under: uncultured Actinomycetes bacterium
Lineage: Bacteria; Bacillati; Actinomycetota; Actinomycetes
Description: bacterial SSU rRNA
Rfam family: Bacterial small subunit ribosomal RNA
Source: RNAcentral
AAAGCUCCCUUCGGGGGGCAAGUAGAGUGGCGCACGGGUGAGUAACACGUAGGUAAUCUACCUUUGGAUUGGGAAUAACAACCGGAAACGGUUGCUAAUACCGAAUAAUGCAGCGGCACCUAAUGGUGACAGUUGUUAAAGCGGGGGAUCACAAGACCUCGCGUCUAAAGAGGAGCCUGCGGCAGAUUAGCUAGUUGGUAAGGUAACGGCUUACCAAGGCGAUGAUCUGUAGCCGGCCUGAGAGGGCGGUCGGCCACACUGACACUGACAUACGGGUCAGACUCCUACGGGAGGCAGCAGUCGGGAAUUUUGGGCAAUGGGCGAAAGCCUGACCCAGCAACGCCGCGUGAAGGAUGAAAUCCCUCGGGAUGUAAACUUCGCAAGAACGGGAAGAAUAAGUGAGAGUUAAUAUCUUUCACGAUGACGGUACUGUUUGUAAGCUCCGGCUAACUCCGUGCCAGCAGCCGCGGUAAUACGGGGGGAGCAAGCGUUGUUCGGAUUUACUGGGCGUAAAGGGCGCGUAGGCGGCCACCGCAAGUCGACUGUGAAAUCUCCGGGCUUAACCCGGAAAGGUCAGCCGAUACUGCGGGGCUAGAGUGCAGAAGGGGCAACUGGAAUUCUCGGUGUAGCGGUGAAAUGCGUAGAUAUCGAGAGGAACACCUGCGGCGAAGGCGGGUUGCUGGGCUGACACUGACGCUGAGGCGCGAAAGCUAGGGGAGCGAACGGGAUUAGAUACCCCGGUAGUCCUAGCCUUAAACGAUGAAUGCUUGGUGUCUGGGGUUUUAUAGU